This is a long non-coding RNA of Mus musculus (house mouse), 4915 nucleotides long. RefSeq annotates it as predicted gene, 51576. The transcript is spliced from 3 exons. Lineage: Eukaryota; Metazoa; Chordata; Mammalia; Rodentia; Muridae. The record is from RefSeq and is a predicted model, not a curated record.
CCAUGAUGAUAAUGGACUGAACAUCAAAACCAGUUUUGCCACUCAAACUGACAGAGUCUAGCUUUUGUACUUAUUGCUUGGGGUCUGCUGUGAUCAUUUGAUGGAACACUCUCCAAGCCAACUGGAAAUUAAUAUGCUGGGAUACUGCCUGCUAUGUAACUCCAGUGACUGCCCUUACAGUGUUCAUUGAUAUCCACCACUUCCCAGUAAGGUGAACCCUUCCCUACUUAUCUUAAUGAACAGGCCUUUAUAAUCCCCAAGAUUGUCUUGAUUGUGCCUCUGCUGCCACCUAGCCCCCAAUCUCUUGCUGUUCUAGUCAUCCAGGCAGUGGAAUAGCCACCCACUCUCCCUGAUACCUACUGUGUGUUUUACUGUGUGCUAGGCUUGGUCAAAGGGCUCAGUUUUAAAUCUCUGUAAGAGUCACUUGAAAGGUGAGGCAGCUACUGCUAGCUGCAGAGCAGAACACUGUCACAGAAAAACACAAAUAAAAGUACAGAUCUAUUUUAUUUCUUCUUUUUGUCUUCCCUGGUGGAUUUGUUUUUGAGUUUGGAUGUCCCUGUGUUCUGUUCUUUUAUCUUUCAUAUCAGAGUUGUUCAUUGCUCACAUUAAUAUACUACUGUGAUGAAAUUUGCUUUCUAAGAUCUUCCCCUGUUUCUCGCAUUUCACUAGUUUGCAUUCCUCUCUUACAAGUUAAAAUCCUGGUUUAUGCAGUGACACAUUUGGACAGGUUUUUGUAGGUUCUCUGUACUUCUGAGGACCAUGACUACACCUCUGACUUAGAGGUGACCUUCUGAGGCAAGAGAUCUUAGCUUAGCAUGAAGGUGAUUUUUUUUUUUUAAAUUGGCCCCAUGAGCUAGUGAGUGUUAGUUACCUUGUGUGUCACCUCCACCUCCAAUAGUCGCCCUCCCCCCACCCCCUAAAGCCCUUUGUUUACAGAUGAGACACCUGAUUGUUAAGGUAACUCUUGGAGUGGUCAUGAACAUUCCUGAGGGUUGGGCCCUGUUCCUAGGACAGUGGAUGCCUGUCUUAGGAAACUACUCAAACGCCAGGGAGGAGGGCCCAGGUGUGUUUGAUUCCCACAUACCGGAGGUUAUAACAAGCUGUGCAGUGCUGGUCACUGAGCCGUAGUCAUUUGUGGCUGAGCAGGUAAAGAUGCCUGCAUCUUCAGGGAAACUCUCAGCAAUGACAAGGGUGCAGAUCUCCUCUGGAAGCAAAGAGACCAAGACAAUCUGUCAGAGGGAAACUGAGAAGUCAUGUGAUGUCAGCCCAACCUCCUCCAGCUACCCUCUUAAAGCAGCUCUCAGGCUUGUAUAAGGCUUCUUCUUUCAACUUAACCAUCAUCAACAAAGAGAACAAAGAAGAUUAAAAGAGCAGAGUAAUGAAUGUUUCUUAUGUAUGUAUCCAUUGAAAUGCCAAGUUAGGCAAAGAUUUGAGAUAUUCCCAAAAUAUAAAGAAAUUCAUGUAACAAGAUGUCGCUUGGGUAGUGUCCAUCUUUGUUGAAGAAUGAGAACACAUGAGCUAUAGUUCUAGCAAGAGGGAAGAAGAUAGAUUAAAGGCUCCAACAGCCUGACUAAUGAGAGGGUCUAAGAUACUAAGAAAGACUUCUGAGAGAAAGCCUGCAACCCCAUCCAACGUACAGAGCCUAGACAUUCCGAAUCCACCCAUCUAUUUGCUGAGUGUGUUAAGGAGUGCACUGCUUAAUAUUCUAUUGCUGCAGGUGUGAGAUAACAAUCCAGGAUUUCUAGCCGCAAGUUACCUGGUAUUUUUAAGGGGAUGGGAUUUGUUGAUGUGGAAACAAGAACUCGAAUUAGAAAUUCGCCAGAUGGCUCCCAAAGCCAAAGUUUACAGGCCUAAUGCCCACCUGCCACAAGGGUGUGUCCACAUGCCAGGAGGGUGUGCCUAGUCUUCCAUUUCUGUUUCCUUCAAAGUCAGUGCAGGAAGUGGGUAGAUUUAUGAGAAAAUUCCAGUUUACUGAAUGUAAAUAUCUCUUUAAAUAUAAGGUGGAAUUAGGAAACGAAUUAAAUUUUGGGGGGCAAUUCAAAAAUUAGAACACUUUGACGUUUAUAUUUUUCAGACUUCUGGAGGGAUCAAAAUGCAGAUUGACUAUGUAAUAUCUUUUCAGUCUGAUCAGAUAUUAGAUAUUAUAUAAUUACUCUAUUACCAUAAGGCAAAGUAUUUUUGUUCCCCUCAUUUGGUUCUUAGUAGCAUUAUAGUCCUUCCAACUCAAUCUAUAAUGAUGAAGCUAAAUGAGGUUUUCUGAAUUAUCUUCCUUUUUUUCCUUUUUAAGACUUCUGCAUAUUUAAAAAUUGUGAAUUUAUAUUUUGGGUACAUCUGAGCGCUCACUGCUUGGGAGCUGUGAGCAGAAGGAUCAGGAGUUCAAAGCUAGUCUCGAGCUUUUCAACCUUAACACAGAUUAGAUGAGACCUGGUCUCAAAAACAAAAUCAAUCAGUCAAACAAAGAAGCCUCCCCAGAUCAGCCCCACCACUUCAUUUUCCACCUCAGGAAAAGAAAAAUAGGUUUUGGAUAGAUGGCACACAUACAUGAUAAAAAAUUUAUACAAAUACACAGUAUAGAACUUAAGAGGUACAAAUGGGUGUUUAUCUUUCUACCUCUUAAAUAAUUGUGUUGAAACUUUCAUGAGGUUUUACCUUAAAUUUAAGACAGAGUCUUAAACGUACACAUUUUAGCUUAUAUCUGUACAUUUUCGCUUAUGACAGGACAUAUAGAAACAUAGUAAAGGGAUAAUUAUUUUGAUACACAGACUAUUUUCACUAUGUGCAAAAAGUACAGUAACCUCACAAGAACUCAAUGAUAGUUAUUUCAAUGAGAAGAUGGCUUGAGUUCUUCAGUCAAUAAUGAAAUGAUGGCCUCAUGAGAAUUCCAUGAGUCAAACAAUGAAAAAUAUAUGCUAUUGAAAAAUCACAACCUGAGUUUUUAAAAUUUUUUUCCCAAUGAUAUGAAAACAUCUUUUGGGACAAUAUAGCAUAAUAACACAGAAUUGUGUUGCAGAAGCAGGCUUGAGGGUGGCAACAUUGGCUCUCAUCUCACUCCUGAGGCUGGCAAGCAUCCUUUGAGAAACCCUGCAAGGUCUCAUCAGUAAGUCACGGGAGUUAUGGUUUUGUUUUUGUCUUUUACAUUUUAUGAUCAAAACAGUUCUUUAAAAGACAAACUUGGAAUACCCAGUGUGAAUGCAGGCAUAAAUGGACAGCAUGCUGCAGAGCUUUCUCUAGUUCUUAAUGCUUACCUAAGAGGAUAGCAAAGAACAUAGACAGGCAAGUACUCAGCAAAUUAAUAACAAAACUAAUGUAAUAACAGAUCAAAAAGUCAAUCAUCUUCCCACACCCCAUCUCCAUUAAUUGAUAAAUAAAAAUUGUAUACAUGUAAAAUUAAAAAAAAAAAAGAGGAUAGCAAAGCUCUCCGAGUUAAAUGUUAGCAGGAUUUUGCUUCUGGUUGCUGUAGCACUAACAAUAGCAAAAGGCAAAAGAUGCUCAGAAUUUAAACUUGGGCUCCACACUAAUUCCACAACACAUUUCAACAAUGUGUGUCUUUAACAUCACCUUACAGGAGCAGGCAGCUGGGCAGGAAUAGGCAGCCCCACCUUCCUGUCUCUGCAAUAGAAAACAUCCCCUAUCUCAAGCUGCACUGUGGGAACAUGGCAAACACUAUGAAUGAAGAGUGCCAAGCUAUGACUGUAAUUUACAUUUAAGCCAUUUUUGCAUUUCAAAAUUGGCUAAUCUACUUACAGAGGAGAAGAAAAAUCUAGAGGCUAGGAAAAUAAAUUUGGCUCUUGAUAGAUGCCCAGGAUCUUCAUCAUUAUUUAAAUGGAGUAAGUUGAAAACUAGAAUGCCUGAGCCCUUGAUUAGACUGAUGAUUCUCUGUUGUUGUUGAGGGAUUUUAUUUAGGAGGCUGGCUGCAGAGGAUCCUUUGCUUUUGAAUGUUGAUUCCUCUAUGGCAGUGGUUCCCAGGCCUGUCUGAGAGGAAUCACCUGCAGUGAUUGCUAAGUUUGCUGAUUUCUCAGUCCUUUUCUUCACUCACCCAGAGUCUGACUAAGCAGGUCUGGGAUAGAGCCAAGAUUUUUUUUUAAGUAUGCUUUUUGUCUUUAGAAACGUUCUAACAAGUGAAUUUCAAAACAUUUAUUAGAAUGAACAGGAGAUACAGUUUAUGUCCAACCUGCACAUACAAACUACACACACACACACACACAGAGAUAUAUGUGUGUGUAUGUAUAUAUACACAUAUACUCAUGCACUCAUAUGUAUAAGCAAGAGCACACAGACAUAGUGGCGACAAAUGUCACAGAAAACAUGAAACUUAGUGUUAAAAUUUUGAUUAUAGGGCUGGAGAGAUGGCUCAGUGGUUAAGAGCACUGGCUGUUCUUCUAGAGGUUCUGAGUUCAAUUCUCAGAAACCACAUGGUGGCUCAUAACCAUCUAUCUAUAAUGGAAUCUGAUGCCCUCUUCUGUUGUCUGAAGACAUCAACAGUGUACAGUAGAUAGAUAGAUAGAUAGAUAGAUAGAUAGAUAGAUAGAUAGAUAGAUAGAAAGAAAGAUAGAUAGAUAGAUAGAUAGAUAGAUAGAUAGAUAGAUCUUUUAAAAAAUGGUAGUUGCAAAGGAAGGUUGGAGAUUUAACUCCAUGGUAGAACACUUGCCCAGCAGGAACAAGUGUCUGGCUUUGAUCCCUCCCACACCCUGCCCCGUAUGGAAAAAUAAAAAAUGGCCACCACUUUGAUGACUCAUUUUGAACCACCAUUGGAACAGCAGUCAAAAAGCUAUGUCUCCUGAGGCUGGCAAGAUGGCUGAGGGUAGAGGUGGCAGGUGCAAGCCUGAUGGUACACAUUCAGUCCUUGGAGGCCAAUUGGAGGGAAGAGAAAACCAACUCUUCAAGUGUUCUCUGAGGUCCACAGGUGUGGCCUCAC